CCUACGGGUGGCAGCAGUGGGGAAUAUUGGACAAUGGGGGAAACCCUGAUGCAGCGACGCCGCGUGAGUGAAGAAGGAUUUCGGUAUGUAAAGCUCUAUCAGCAGGGAAGAAGAAAGACGGUACCUGACUAAGAAGCCCCGGCUAACUACGUGCCAGCAGCCGCGGUAAUACGUAGGGGGCAAGCGUUAUCCGGAUUUACAGGGUGUAAAGGGGGCGUAGACGGGUGUGCAAGUCUGAAGUGAAAGCCCAGGGCUCAACCCUGGGACUGCUUUGGAAACUGUGGAGCUUGAGUGCUGGAGAGGUAGGUGGAAUUCCUAGUGUAGCGGUGAAAUGCGUAGAUAUUAGGAGGAACACCAGUGGCGAAGGCGGCUUGCUGGACAGUAACUGACGUUGAGGCGCGAAAGCGUGGGGAGCAAACAGGAUUAGAUACCCUGGUAGUC
This 441-nucleotide ribosomal RNA is filed under the name uncultured bacterium. Its description in RNAcentral is "partial 16S ribosomal RNA". It matches the Rfam family "Bacterial small subunit ribosomal RNA", at positions 338 to 795 of the family's 1533-position model. The record is from RNAcentral.